GAUGAAGAACGCAGCGAAAUGCGAUAAGUAGUGUGAAUUGCAGAAUUCAGUGAAUCAUCGAAUCUUUGAACGCACAUUGCGCCCCUUGGUAUUCCAUGGGGCAUGCCUGUUCGAGCGUCAUUUGUACCUUCAAGCUUUGCUUGGUGUUGGGUGUUUGUCCAUUCUCUUGCAGAGGGACUCGCCUUAAAGUAAUUGGCAGCCGGUGUUUUGGUUUUGAAGCGCAGCACAAGUCGCGAUUCAACGCUAUACGCCAGCUUCCACAAGCCUUUUUCACUUUUGACCUCGGAUCAGGUAGGGAUACCCGCUGAACUUAAGCAUAUCAAUAAGCGGAGGA
Molecule: unclassified non-coding RNA, 334 nt
Filed under: soil metagenome
Description: partial contains 5.8S ribosomal RNA, internal transcribed spacer 2, and large subunit ribosomal RNA
Rfam family: 5.8S ribosomal RNA (bases 1-120)
Source: RNAcentral